This 541-nucleotide ribosomal RNA is filed under the name Ligilactobacillus salivarius. RNAcentral describes it as "bacterial SSU rRNA". It matches the Rfam family "Bacterial small subunit ribosomal RNA", at positions 71 to 584 of the family's 1533-position model. Lineage: Bacteria; Bacillati; Bacillota; Bacilli; Lactobacillales; Lactobacillaceae. The record is from RNAcentral.
UUUCUUACACCGAAUGCUUGCAUUCACCGUAAGAAGUUGAGUGGCGGACGGGUGAGUAACACGUGGGUAACCUGCCUAAAAGAAGGGGAUAACACUUGGAAACAGGUGCUAAUACCGUAUAUCUCUAAGGAUCGCAUGAUCCUUAGAUGAAAGAUGGUUCUGCUAUCGCUUUUAGAUGGACCCGCGGCGUAUUAACUAGUUGGUGGGGUAACGGCCUACCAAGGUGAUGAUACGUAGCCGAACUGAGAGGUUGAUCGGCCACAUUGGGACUGAGACACGGCCCAAACUCCUACGGGAGGCAGCAGUAGGGAAUCUUCCACAAUGGACGCAAGUCUGAUGGAGCAACGCCGCGUGAGUGAAGAAGGUCUUCGGAUCGUAAAACUCUGUUGUUAGAGAAGAACACGAGUGAGAGUAACUGUUCAUUCGAUGACGGUAUCUAACCAGCAAGUCACGGCUAACUACGUGCCAGCAGCCGCGGUAAUACGUAGUGGCAAGCGUUGUCCGGAUUUAUUGGGCGUAAAGGGAACGCAGGCGGUCUUUU